UCACGUAAUGGUUUUUGUUUGUUUUUCAGAUGAGUUUGCAAUUGCUGAGUACAAUGCUCCUUGCAGCAAAGAUCAAGGAAAUGCUUGAAGACCACAUGAAUGAAAAGUGCUUUACUGGAGUUUCUGUUCUCAGGACUCCACAGAAGACAAGUGUUGUUUUUUGUUUUGGUUUGGUUUUUUAUCUCUAAAGACUUGAUGAAUAAACUUUUUUCUGGUCAAUCUCUA
Molecule: long non-coding RNA, 225 nt
Organism: Propithecus coquereli (Coquerel's sifaka)
Lineage: Eukaryota; Metazoa; Chordata; Mammalia; Primates; Indriidae
Exons: 2
Source: RefSeq, a predicted model, not a curated record